RNAcentral lists this long non-coding RNA (1359 nucleotides) under Oryza sativa Indica Group (long-grained rice). RNAcentral's name for it is "lncRNA OsZS97_09G012300". Lineage: Eukaryota; Viridiplantae; Streptophyta; Magnoliopsida; Poales; Poaceae. The record is from RNAcentral.
CGCUAUCGGAGCCCCGGAUGGCGCCGCCCCCUCCUUCUCCGCCGCCCCCGUCUCCCCCCCCCCCCCCCCCCCCCCCCCCCGGCGCCGGCGCCGCCAUCUUCACGGUGGGACACGCCGGUGCCGCAGUGGGUGAUACUGUGGAGGGUCCCACGAGUAUAUCCGGCCGACGUGCCCUCCAAGGGAUCGGAGUUCUCCCUCGCUCUCGCGGCUCCGCCACGGAUCAGCUCCCUCUCCCUCGCGGCGCCACCUCAUCUAUCCAGUGCCUACCUCACGGCGGCGCCACCGCAGAUCUCCGCCAAUGGACGCUUCCUCUCCGGCGACCUCGGCCCGUUCGCCCCCUUCGUCCUAGCGGCGGACGCUUCUGGGGUCAUCCUCGUGCACGCCUACUCCGCCCGUGUCCUGUUCGACCACAGCGGCAGCGGCAGCAACAGCGGCAGCGGCAGCGGCAGCGGGGGCCCGUUCGUCGCCGGCGACAAGGGUGGUUCCCGCAUAGGUCCCUGCCUCUACGUGAUUGACACGUUCUCUGCGGCGGCGGAUUUCCUGCCCGACCGCAACACCAACCCCGGGCUGACCAACUUCGCUCUUGUCGUGCACAAUCACGAAGGGGUCGUCGCGCGUAGUUACUCAGUCAUGGAACUGGUUCUCGAGGCUGACAGUAAUAAGGCACAGCUUUGGGAAUUCAGUUCUGCUUCCGGAGUAUGUGCUGAGGGAGAAGAAGAGCUCAGUAUGACGCUACUUCCAGAUGGCUUGCAUGCAGAGGAGGUUGAAACUCUUUCUAGUGUUUGCGUCAGCGAGGGCAAGAUCACAUACGUGGCUGUAUCUGGACAUCCUGGGGGAUUACCUUCUGAGGGCAAUGUUCUCGUCUGGAUUUUGGUUGAUCCGAAGCAUAGCCAGUGGAAGCUUCGUACAGUGACUCCUAUGUCAGUCAUUUGGGACACGAUAUGCCAUGCUCUUGGUCUGCAGAGGGGAGCUCCACCAGUGAUCAGUGUGCUUGACCGGCAAGAUGCCAGCGUGCUCUACUUCUUUAUACAGCAACACCUAGUGGGAUUCCACCUCACAAGAAGACUGUGUACUAGCGUCAUUCUCUGCAACUGCAACUGCAAUAGGACUCGGGAAGAACAAGAAGAUAAGGAACAGCAUAUUGUAUAUGCUGGGAUUACAACAGCGGCCGAAGCAGCCCUGGAGCUGUUUGAGGCUCGAAUGGAUUCGAUCCAAGAUGGACCACCGGCUCAUAUUGUGGUUCCACCGGUUCAUGUUGUGGUUUGUCAAGUGAAGAACGGGGGGACUCAGGGAGCGGACCCCCGUCCAACACAGAAGACUGACAGCCUUGUCGUCGAACAGUACCGAAGAGUUGUUUGA